CCUACGGGAGGCAGCAGUGGGGAAUAUUGGACAAUGGGCGAAAGCCUGAUCCAGCCAUGCCGCGUGUGUGAAGAAGGCCUUCGGGUUGUAAAGCACUUUCAGUGGGGAAGAAAGCCUUGGGGCUAAUACCCUCGAGGAAGGACAUCACCCACAGAAGAAGCACCGGCUAACUCCGUGCCAGCAGCCGCGGUAAUACGGAGGGUGCGAGCGUUAAUCGGAAUUACUGGGCGUAAAGCGCGCGUAGGCGGUCUGAUAAGCCGGUUGUGAAAGCCCCGGGCUCAACCUGGGAACGGCAUCCGGAACUGUCAGGCUAGAGUGCAAGAGAGGAAGGUAGAAUUCCCGGUGUAGCGGUGAAAUGCGUAGAGAUCGGGAGGAAUACCAGUGGCGAAGGCGGCCUUCUGGACUGACACUGACGCUGAGGUGCGAAAGCGUGGGUAGCAAACAGGAUUAGAUACCCUGGUAGUC
Molecule: ribosomal RNA, 465 nt
Filed under: Vreelandella stevensii
Lineage: Bacteria; Pseudomonadati; Pseudomonadota; Gammaproteobacteria; Oceanospirillales; Halomonadaceae
Description: partial 16S ribosomal RNA
Rfam family: Bacterial small subunit ribosomal RNA
Source: RNAcentral